Molecule: ribosomal RNA, 253 nt
Filed under: uncultured bacterium
Lineage: Bacteria
Description: partial 16S ribosomal RNA
Rfam family: Bacterial small subunit ribosomal RNA
Source: RNAcentral
UACGAAGGGGGCUAGCGUUGCUCGGAAUCACUGGGCGUAAAGGGUGCGUAGGCGGGUCUUUAAGUCAGGCGUGAAAUUCCUGGGCUCAACCUGGGGACUGCGCUUGAUACGGCAGAGCUAGAGGAUGGAAGAGGCUCGCGGAAUUCCCAGUGUAGAGGUGAAGUUCGUAGAUAUUGGGAAGAACACCGGUGGCGAAGGCGGCGAGCUGGUCCAUUACUGACGCUGAGGCGCGACAGCGUGGGGAGCAAACAGG